RNAcentral lists this ribosomal RNA (389 nucleotides) under uncultured Methanolinea sp. Its description in RNAcentral is "bacterial SSU rRNA". It matches the Rfam family "Archaeal small subunit ribosomal RNA", at positions 952 to 1338 of the family's 1478-position model. The record is from RNAcentral. Lineage: Archaea; Methanobacteriati; Methanobacteriota; Methanomicrobia; Methanomicrobiales; Methanoregulaceae.
UAUCGGGCUGAAGACUCUACUUGACUAGCUGAGAGGAGGCGGCAUGGCCGUCGUCAGUUCGUACUGUGAAGCAUCCUGUUAAGUCAGGCAACGAGCGAGACCCACGCCAACAGUUGCCAGCUCGUCCUCCGGGGAUGGUGGGGACACUGUUGGGACCGCCUCUGCUAAAGAGGAGGAAGGAAUGGGCAACGGUAGGUCAGCAUGCCCCGAAUUAUCUGGGCUACACGCGGGCUACAAUGGUCAGGACAAUGGGCAUCAACACCGAAAGGUGAAGGCAAUCUCUUAAACCUGUCCUUAGUUCGGAUUGUGGGCUGCAACUCGCCCACAUGAAGCUGGAAUCUGUAGUAAUCGCGUCUCAAAAUGGCGCGGUGAAUAUGUCCCUGCUCCUU